This 64-nucleotide transfer RNA is filed under the name Cavia porcellus (domestic guinea pig). It matches the Rfam family "tRNA", at positions 1 to 62 of the family's 71-position model. From Rfam's summary of the family: Transfer RNA (tRNA) molecules are approximately 80 nucleotides in length. Lineage: Eukaryota; Metazoa; Chordata; Mammalia; Rodentia; Caviidae. The record is from Rfam by way of RNAcentral.
GGGGAUUUAGCUCAGCGGCAUAAGCGCCUGCCUUGCAAGCAGGAGGUCGUGAGUUCGAUCCCCG